CACCUACCAACUGCGCGCACCAACCCAACCCGUGGGGACCAAACCCCAUUUUCUCUGCCUCCGAUUCAUGACGUUCGAAAGCACAUCGGAUGGAAUCCGGCAACUUCACACGAUGGAUUUGUGAGUGGAUUUCCUUCAAUUCCACAGUCGGGUGCCAAAACCUCUCGACGUCCUCGGGCUGGAUGGAUCUCAUUGUACAUCUGCAUGAGGCUCGCACUCAUUGUAAUAUUGACACUCGCACUCAUUGUAAUAUUGACAGUGGAAAUGACAGCAAAUUGUAUCUCAAUAAUGGUACCACCGACAAA
Long non-coding RNA from Zingiber officinale, 305 nucleotides. RefSeq lists it as uncharacterized. Lineage: Eukaryota; Viridiplantae; Streptophyta; Magnoliopsida; Zingiberales; Zingiberaceae. The record is from RefSeq and is a predicted model, not a curated record. The transcript has 2 exons.